GGAAUUGACGGGACCGCACAAGCGGUGGAUGAUGUGGUUUAAUUCGAUGCAACGCGAAAACCUUACCACCUUUGACAUGUACGGAAUCCUUUAGAGAUAGAGGAGUGCUCGAAAGAGAGCCGUAACACAGGUGCUGCAUGGCUGUCGUCAGCUCGUGUCGUGAGAUGUUGGGUUAAGUCCCGCAACGAGCGCAACCCUUGUCAUUAGUUGCUACAUUCAGUUGGGCACUCUAAUGAGACUGCCGGUGACAAACCGGAGGAAGGUGGGGAUGACGUCAAGUCUUCAUGGCCCUUAUAGGUGGGGCUACACACGUCAUACAAUGGAUGGUACAAAGGGUCGCCAACCCGCGAGGGGGAGCCAAUCCCAUAAAGCCAUUCGUAGUCCGGAUCGCAGUCUGCAACUCGACUGCGUGAAGUCGGAAUCGCUAGUAAUCGUGGAUCAGAAUGUCACGGUGAAUACGUUCCCGGGUCUU
This 472-nucleotide ribosomal RNA is filed under the name uncultured Acidovorax sp. Its description in RNAcentral is "bacterial SSU rRNA". It matches the Rfam family "Bacterial small subunit ribosomal RNA", at positions 906 to 1382 of the family's 1533-position model. Lineage: Bacteria; Pseudomonadati; Pseudomonadota; Betaproteobacteria; Burkholderiales; Comamonadaceae. The record is from RNAcentral.